Molecule: transfer RNA, 67 nt
Filed under: Fonsecaea multimorphosa CBS 102226
Lineage: Eukaryota; Fungi; Ascomycota; Eurotiomycetes; Chaetothyriales; Herpotrichiellaceae
Description: tRNA-Val (TAC) (tRNA-Val-TAC-1-1)
Rfam family: tRNA
About the family: Transfer RNA (tRNA) molecules are approximately 80 nucleotides in length. Their secondary structure includes four short double-helical elements and three loops (D, anti-codon, and T loops).
Source: RNAcentral
AGGUGUAGUGGUUUAUCACAUCUCCUUUACACGGAGAAGGCCAUGGGUUCGAUCCCCAUAGGAACUA